UACAGAGGUCCCGAGCGUUAGGCGGAAUCACUGGGCUUAAAGCGUGCGUAGGCGGCUUGGUAAGUACCUUGUGAAAUCCCACGGCUUAACCGUGGAACUGCUUGGUAUACUGCUUAUCUUGGGCCACUUAGGGGUUACUGGAACAAACGGUGGAGCGGUGAAAUGCGUAGAUAUCGUAUGGAACGCCAAUGGUGAAAACAGGUAACUGGGAGUGUGCCGACGCUGAGACACGAAAGCCAGGGGAGCGAACGGG
Molecule: ribosomal RNA, 253 nt
Filed under: uncultured bacterium
Lineage: Bacteria
Description: partial 16S ribosomal RNA
Rfam family: Bacterial small subunit ribosomal RNA
Source: RNAcentral